Molecule: ribosomal RNA, 449 nt
Filed under: uncultured bacterium
Lineage: Bacteria
Description: partial 16S ribosomal RNA
Rfam family: Bacterial small subunit ribosomal RNA
Source: RNAcentral
AGCGAACGCUGGCGGCAGGCCUAACACAUGCAAGUCGAACGGAUCCUUCGGGAUUAGUGGCGGACGGGUGAGUAACACGUGGGAACGUGCCCUUUGGUUCGGAACAACUCAGGGAAACUUGAGCUAAUACCGGAUGUGCCCUUCGGGGGAAAGAUUUAUCGCCAUUGGAGCGGCCCGCGUCUGAUUAGCUAGUUGGUGAGGUAAAGGCUCACCAAGGAGACGAUCAGUAGCUGGUCUGAGAGGAUGAUCAGCCACAUUGGGACUGAGACACCGCCCAAACUCCUACGGGAGUCAGCAGUGGGGAAUCUUGCGCAAUGGGCGAAAGGCUGACUCAGCCAUGCCGCGUGAAUGAUGAAGGUCUUAGGAUUGUAAAAUUAUUUCACCGGGGAUGAUAAUGACGGUACCCGGAGAAGAAGCCCCGGCUAACGUCCUGCCAGCCGCCGCUGUAA